GGCAGCCCGCUGGAGGGGUCCUUAGGCGGGCGCUGAGGGAAGGAGGGGAACGAGGAGUUAAAGGAGGAGUUAAAGCGGGAAAUGGAGCGGGAAUUAAAAACUAUGAGGCAAAACCGCCCCUGAGCACGCCGUCCGUGGGCCUGGCCGCCCGGCACGGCGGCUGCGGGCGGCUGGUGAGGCUGAGGAGAUCCUCAGCCGUCACUCCGCACCGAGCCCUCAGAGCUGUCAGGGUGUCCCUGUUUGCAGAUGUGGAGAAGUUGGGUGUUCCCAGGUCCUGUUUGUCACCCUCCAGCUGAUGGCUCUGCCCUGCAGCCAUCACACACUCGUGUGGGUGAUGAGUGUUUUAUUUGCCUGCACGGUCCCUGCUGCCUUUAAUGAGGAGAUAACAUUAACGGUGGGAUGUCACUUGCUGCUCUCUGGGCUGCAGAGGGAGCAGAUGAGUUUUUUCCUGUAGGUGUCACCAAUAUCCCGUGCAGAAACAGCUUAAACUCCAGAGGAACGACAGAGUAUGGGAUGCUCAGAUCAGUUUUGUUACACGCUGAAUCUUCAGAAACAUUUGACAUCCCUUGAGGUUCAUUUCUCAGAAACCUUUUUGUAUUUUCCCUGAUUUGGAUCUGAAAAAAAUCCCUCUGGUUUCCUUAAUAACCAUUUGUGAAUUUCAGAGGAUUUUUGAGGCUGACUUUGCACCAGGACACUGGGAAAAUGUGUGUGAAGGCUGCGAGGAGCUGUGGGUGGUGAUUGAGUUGAGUGACGGCUGCUGGAGCGUGACUUGUCCCACUCAGCCUUAGAAAUACUGCACUGUGGUGGGACCAUCAAACCAUGGAAUGGUUUGGUUACAAGGGACCGUAAAGCUCAUCUCAUUCCACCCCCCUGCCAUGGGCAGGGACACCUUCCACUAGCUCAGGUUGCUCCAAGCCCCGUCCCACCUGGCCUGGAACAUUUCCAGGGAUCCAGAGGCAGCCACAGCUUCUCUGGGCAACCUGUGCCAGGGCCUCCCCACCCUCACAGGGAAGAAUUUCUCUCUAAUAUCUAAUCUAAAUCUACCCUCUUUUAUUUUAAAAAUGUUCCCCCUUGUCGUAGUAAUUGUCAGUCCUUAAUCCCAGUAAUCCAUGUGCAGACCUCUGCAAUUUCCUCACCCGGUGUGGGGGCAGCACCUGAUCCUGGUGCAGGCAGAUUUGGGGGAAAAUAGGUGUCUUUUCAAUUUAUUCUUUAUUUUGACCAAAGGUCAAAUAGCACAAUACCCUCUCAAAUGCCUCAUUUUAUAGAAAUCUUAUAGAAUCACAGGAUCAUAAAGGUUGAAAAAGCCCUCUAAGGUUACCGAGUCCAACUGCCAAGGCCAGCACUAACCCCUGUCCCCAGGUGCCACAUCUACACUUAAAAUCCCCUUAAAUUUACAUCCCAGCGGGGCUGGAGGCGUAUCCACUUGUGUGAGGGAUCAUCACUCCUUUGUCCCAGAAGGAGGACUCAUCCAGCUGGCAGUGCAUCCCAGAGGGUUGGAUUCAGGGAGUGCACGGUGGCCUCACGGAUCGAUGUCCGGCAAUGAGGCUCCAAGCAGAGGCAAUUCAGCUUCGUCUUUGCUAAUAAACUAAGUGCAUCCAGGAACUGAGUGUAUCCUGGGCCCUGUGGCCAACUGGCACAAAACACCCUCCUCCACACUUGUAAACUUGCCUUGCCUUGCCUUCCAGGAGAGGGUGGCUGGAUGCAAACUCCCCGCUGGGAGUUGUUCCUGGACUGGUCUGUGCACUGAACCCUGCCUAGGAAUUAUUUGGAAUUAUUUGGAGAGUGCAGGCUGGCACCCAGGUUUAGGCAGGGGAGCUUUCUAACAAUUUUCUCACAUGGAUGUACUUCCCAGUGCCUGGGCAUGCCUGGAUUUGCAGCAUGGAUGGAACCUUCAGGUAACAGAAUGUAUUUACAGGGACAAAUAAUGCAAGUGCUGCCUGCCAGCUCCCUCCCACUUGGAUAUGGACCUCUGGGAUUCUUCCAAAUACUCUGUAAGUGUGAUAAUGAACGGGAGUGUUUCUGGAUCUAUUCCUUUGUGCCAGUGGGACAAAGCACCUUCCAGGAAGCACUGGGUGGAUUGCAGGAUCAGACUCUGGGAAGUGUCUGACAGGGUGCCAAAGAGCUGCAGGUUUAUUUAACAGUUGCAGGGCAACGAGCUGGGAACCCAAAUGUUGGGUGACCUCCACCCAGGACCUCAGUGGAGCUCAGCUCCUCCCCAAAGCCUCUGAAGAAGCUUGUGAGACUUGCCCUGGUCUGUUGAGAUUUUGCUGCUUCCUUCUUGCUGGACUCAGGUCACUUGUUAUGAGAGAAAUAAGAUGGUUUAUUGUUCCUUGAGAUAACUUUCAAAUUUACUUUAAAAGAGGAAUUUAAAUACAAAUGAUGGUCAUAAUCAAAGCAGAGCCCUAGUUCUUGAAAACUAAACUGCAAAAUUAAGACAUACAUGAAGACAAGAUGAAAAUGUGGCAGAGGAAAAUGAGGUCCUGCUUGUGUUGGUUUCUUGUUCCAGAGUCACUGAGGAUUUUAUGCAAAGGGAACAGUUUGUCAGGGCUCUGCCUCAGGAGCAGAACCACAGCCCUGGGUUUCUGUCUCCUGUACACUCCCAGGUCACUGCUGAAAACCCUGGGCAGCCUGUUCCAGGGCUUGACAACCCUUCCCAUGAAGAUUUUUUUUCCCUAAUAUCCAAUAUAAACUUCCUCUGGUACAACUUGAGGCUGCUUCAUCUCAUCCUGUCACUUGUUACUGGGAGAAGAACCCGACCCCCACCUGGCUCCAACGUCCUCUCAGGGAGUUUUGGAGAGCAAUGAAGUGCUCCAGGUUUGAAGGCUGGAAAUCAGUGUGAGAUGAUUCCCACUGUGUUGUGUUUCAUGGCAGCUCAUUUCUGCUCUCAAGGUUUGAGUGUCUGGUCCAACUCUGCCACAGGGGCAGGAUGUGUGAGUGAUGCAGGGAGUGAGAUGAGCAGGUAGAGGCCUCUUUCGCCUUAAAAGCUGGGGGAAGAUUUGGAACAAAUAAUGCCAGUAAAGAUGUAAAUCUAAAAUAAACCCAGCCAGGCUAAGGAUUUCCUUGAGCAGGUCUUCAAAAAUAUUUGGAGAUAGAGGCUUCUGUGCUAACAGGGGAUUAAAGACAAAAAUAGUGGUGAAGGGAAAUCCCUAUGACUGAAAUUCAGUCCUUUCCUCUCUGUGACCACAAACCCAAAACCUUUCAAAGGCUCUUUAGUGAGCAUUGAAGCCACACAAGGUGGUGGGUUUGGAUGUCCCUAAUUUCAGGCAGGGGCUGUCCCAAGGUAAUGCCCUCACCACGUGAGGUUCAGACCACGUGGCUGUUACUGCAUCUGUGCAAGUGGAUGAUUUUCCAGCAGUUCAUCUGCAUGUUUUCUUCAUCUCUUUUGGCUACAAAUUAUUCCAGGUGACUCCUAACCAGUGUUUCUUGGGAAUGGGCACAUCCCUAGAAAAGACCUGUUGGAGUCCCCAUCCCUGGAGGUGUUCAAGAAACGACUGGACGUGGCACUCAGUGCUCUAGGCUGGGGGACAAGGUGGGGAUUGGUCACAGGGUGGACUCGAUGAUCAUGAAGGUCUUUUCCAACCUAAAUGAUUUUGGGAUUCUGUGGUUCUAGACCUGGGAUUCUAGUCAGGGAAAUCAUCCUUGACUAACUCCACUUGGCUCAUCUGAGCGUGGUCCCAGCCCCGACAGGUGAGUCCUCUGUGCCUGGCAUUUUGUAGCUGAAAAUCAGAGAUAAAAAUACUGUCUUUCUUCACAAAGUCAGUCCGGGGGAGGACACGAACAGCAGUGGUGGUAAAUGUUCAGAGGUUGCUGCUCUUCUGGGUGUCUUUCACUCAGAACCUCUCCCUCCUCUCCCCUCGUGCCCAUGGAGCUGUUUGUCUGGAGCCUUAAUGAGUUUCCCGUAUCUUUUCAAAAUGUAAAUUGUAACCAAUUUAGAAGUCAUUAGCGAAGAAGUCUGUCACUGCAGCCCUGCUUUAAUUUCACCUGUCCCUUCCCCUGUUUCCAUUAGACGCCAGUUAAUUAAAGCUCGAUUUGGUUCUCGGCGCCGUCAGCUCUGUUUGAAAUCAAUGUCCUUCCAAGUCUGGGACUCAGGUGACAGCACAGGAACAGCCACCAGGACCUGGGUGAUCGGGAUUUCCAGCACGAAUUAACCAAGAACUGUUCUCCUCUCUCCACAUACCACAGGCACAAAGGGAAAAUAAAACCAGGGAUGCCAAAAUGCAAUUUGGUUUCUUUUCAGGAUGCAGUUGUAGCCCAGCAAUACCUCCCUCAGGUUGGCCCAAGGGACUUGCAGCUGGAAAGCCAUUGCUGCUUGAGAAAUGACACAGACGGAGAGGUUUGAACCAGCCAACUCACAUGAAUAAGUGGAGGAGAGACCCCAUUUCAUCCUGGCAGUGCUUCUGGAAACAGGGCCAAUUCAUUAGCCAGAGAUCUCUGCAUCCCUCAGCAGAACAGCCUGUUCUCCCUGCCCUGUGAUCUCCUUCUGCUCUCCCACCAUCCUCAGAGGUUGGUACUUGGAGUGGGACAGCCUUGGAAAGCUGCAGCCUCAGUGCAGCUGAUUCUUACCCCGAUUUAUUUCUAUAUAUUUGUCUUUGCAAAAAAAAAAAAAAAAAAAAAGUUGUGUUUUGCAAACAUUUUUAUUUUUCACCUCUCCCAUCCACCUUCUUCCCCAUCCAUGGGAAACAUCCAAUCCUGGGGGAUUCAGGCAAAAAGAAGUGGAAGUAUCCUGGUGUGUUUUGCAGGUGUUUUGUGGAGGUUUU
Long non-coding RNA from Pseudopipra pipra, 4757 nucleotides. RefSeq lists it as uncharacterized. The transcript is spliced from 3 exons. NCBI's taxonomy places the organism in Eukaryota, Metazoa, Chordata, Aves, Passeriformes, Pipridae. The record is from RefSeq and is a predicted model, not a curated record.